Molecule: ribosomal RNA, 253 nt
Filed under: uncultured bacterium
Lineage: Bacteria
Description: partial 16S ribosomal RNA
Rfam family: Bacterial small subunit ribosomal RNA
Source: RNAcentral
CACGUAGGGCGCGAGCGUUGUCCGGAAUUAUUGGGCGUAAAGAGCUCGUAGGCGGCCUGUUGCGUCCGCUGUGAAAGCCCGGGGCUUAACCCCGGGUCUGCAGUGGAUACGGGCAGGCUAGAGGUAGGUAGGGGAGAAUGGAAUUCCCGGUGUAGCGGUGAAAUGCGCAGAUAUCGGGAGGAACACCGGUGGCGAAGGCGAUCACCUGGGGUUGUUCUGACGCUGAGGAGCGAAAGCUAGGGGAGCAAACGGG